GGGAAGGAUGAGAAGCUUCGACUAAGGUUCGAUUCGAGCGUCAGCGAGAAAGCGUUGCCGCAGGCAACGACCCGAAGGGCGAAGCGCGCAGCGCUGAGUCAUCCUUCCCCCACCACCA
This 118-nucleotide small RNA is filed under the name Salmonella enterica subsp. enterica serovar Heidelberg. RNAcentral describes it as "partial RtT sRNA". It matches the Rfam family "RtT RNA", at positions 15 to 130 of the family's 130-position model. Rfam says of the family: This family represents a bacterial cis-regulatory element known as RtT RNA. RNAcentral also lists the same sequence under 9 other names. Lineage: Bacteria; Pseudomonadati; Pseudomonadota; Gammaproteobacteria; Enterobacterales; Enterobacteriaceae. The record is from RNAcentral.